AGAAUCAACGCUGGCGGCGCGCUUAACACAUGCAAGUCGCACGAGAAAGUGGAGCAAUCCAUGAGUACAGUGGCGUACGGGUGAGUAACACGUGGAUCAUCUACCUCUUGAUGGGGAAUAACCCUGGGAAACCGGGGCUAAUACCGCAUAAGCCUGAAAAGGGAAAGCGUUGUCCUUAAAAAACGACGCGUCGAGAGAGGAGUCCGCGGCCGAUUAGCUAGUUGGUAGGGUAAAGGCCUACCAAGGCAAUGAUCGGUAGCCGGCCUGAGAGGGCACACGGCCACACUGGCACUGAAACACGGGCCAGACUCCUACGGGAGGCAGCAGUGGGGAAUCUUGCACAAUGGAGGAAACUCUGAUGCAGCGACGCCGCGUGAGCGAUGAAGCCCUUCGGGGUGUAAAGCUCUUUCGGCAGGAACGAUAAUGACGGUACCUGCAGAAGAAGCUGCGGCUAACUACGUGCCAGCAGCCGCGGU
RNAcentral lists this ribosomal RNA (476 nucleotides) under uncultured bacterium. Its description in RNAcentral is "SSU rRNA". It matches the Rfam family "Bacterial small subunit ribosomal RNA", at positions 26 to 521 of the family's 1533-position model. The record is from RNAcentral.